Long non-coding RNA from Mercenaria mercenaria, 465 nucleotides. RefSeq lists it as uncharacterized. The transcript has 2 exons. The record is from RefSeq and is a predicted model, not a curated record. Lineage: Eukaryota; Metazoa; Mollusca; Bivalvia; Venerida; Veneridae.
UUUUAUAUUUCAGAAAUAGGAAAUCUUUUUUUUUAAGUUCGAAAGAGUAAGAGUAGAAAAAAACAUAAAUUCUAAAUAAGUUCACUCUUUGAACAUUUGAUAUUAAUUUUCAUGCUUUUCCUUAACAAGUUGAUAGAUAUGAAGUAACAUCUAACAAAUUUACACGAGACAUUUUCAAAGAAUUGUUAGUGUCCUUGGUAGCUUCCGUAUUUAUGGGAUUUGGUGUUCUCUUUCUAUUGUUGUGGGUCGGCAUCUUCGUAUAGCAGGAAAUCCAGCUGGUGUCUGUGGUGAUUGUAAAAGAAGUGUGUCUGUGACCAGUCAUCAUCAUCAUCAUCACCAUCAUCAUUAUCAUCAUCAUUCCAUGUAUACAGUACAUGAAACUCGAGAACUUUCGAAUGUUUUGUAAAUUGUGAUGGGCUAUCUGUAGAGAGUAUCUUAUUUUGAAUAAAUGUUAAUAUAUUGUCA